Molecule: long non-coding RNA, 607 nt
Filed under: Oncorhynchus mykiss (rainbow trout)
Lineage: Eukaryota; Metazoa; Chordata; Actinopteri; Salmoniformes; Salmonidae
Description: lncRNA (ENSOMYG00000069708.1)
Source: RNAcentral
GGGUUGCUAUAGGGUUCUGGUCUAAAGUAGUUCACUACUUAGGGAAUGGGGUUGCCAUAGGGUUCUGGUCUAAAGUGGUGCACUACUUAGGGAAUGGGGUUGCCAUAGGGUUCUGGUCUAAAGUAGUGCACUACUUAGGGAAUGGGGUUGCCAUAGGGUCCUGGUCUAAAGUAGUGCACUACUUAGGGAAUGGGGCUGCCAUAGGGUUCUGGUCUACAUACGGAAUGGGGUUGCCAUAGGGUUCUGGUCUAAAGUAGUGCACUACUUAGGGAAUGGGGUUGCCAUAGGGUCCUGGUCUAAAGUAGUGCACUACUUAGGGAAUGGGGUUGCCAUAGGGUCCUGGUCUAAAGUAGUGCACUACUUAGGGAAUGGGGUUGCCAUAGGGUCCUGGUCUAAAGUGGUGCACUACGUAGGGAAUGAGGUUGCCAUAGGGUCCUGGUCUAAAGUGGUGCACUACUUAGGGAAUGGGGUUGCCAUAGGGUUCUGGUCUAAAGUAGUGCACUACGUAGGGAAUGGGGUUGCCAUAGGGUUCUGGUCUAAAGUGGUGCACUACUUAGGGAAUGGGGUUGCCAUAGGGUCCUGGUCUAAAGUGGUGCACUACUUAGGG